UAAGUCACUUUGUCUUUAUGGCAAAUGUGAGAUGCAGUGUAUGGUACGUCUAUUAUCUAGUAUGAGAAAUUAAUGAUUUAAGUCCUUCUUAAAUGAAGCCAUUUACCCAUAGAGGGUGCCAGGCCCGUAUAACGUUAAUGAUUACUAGAAGAUGUUUCCAAAGAGUCGUGUUGCUUGAUAGUGCAGCACUAAGUGGGUGGUAAACUCCAUCUAAAACUAAAUAUAACCAUGAGACCGAUAGUAAACAAGUACCGUGAGGGAAAGUUGAAAAGAACUCUGAAUAGAGAGUUAAAUAGUACGUGAAACUGCUUAGAGGUUAAGCCCGAUGAACCUGAAUAUCCAUUAUGGAAAAUUCAUCAUUAUAUCUAGAAUAUUGAUAAUAUUAUUGAAAUAGUGUGCAUUUUUUCCAUAUAAGGACAUUGUAAUCUAUUAACAUAAUUAUAUAUUUAUCAAAAGAUCAUUUGCUUAAGUUUAUUCAAAUUAUUUUACAUUUGUAUUUUAACAUAGAAUAAAUGCUUAUGAUUUGAUAAAGUGUUGAUAGAUUUAUUAUAUAUAGUGCUUAAAUUCUUUUGAAUUUUACAAUAGCAUGAUUUUCUUAUGAUUUUUAUGUUUAAUUGUAUGCACUUAUAUGAUUAACAAUGCGAUAGAUUCAGGAUACCUUCGGGACCCGUCUUGAAACACGGACCAAGGAGUCUAACAUAUGUGCAAGUCAUUGGGAUUAUUUAUAUAAACCCAAAGGCGUAAUUAACUUAACUGUUAUUAAUGGGAUUAGUUUUUAGUCUAUUUUUAUAGUCUAUUAAUUCAAUCCCGGGGCGUUCUAUACAGUUAUGUAUAAUAAUAUUUAUAUUAUUUAUACCUCUAACUAGAGCGUACCUUGAGCAAAUAUGCUGUGACCCGAAAGAUGGUGAACUAUACUUGAUCAGGUUGAAGUCAGGGGAAACCCUG
RNAcentral lists this ribosomal RNA (945 nucleotides) under Lopa convexa. RNAcentral describes it as "eukaryotic LSU rRNA". It matches the Rfam family "Eukaryotic large subunit ribosomal RNA", at positions 115 to 866 of the family's 3401-position model. Lineage: Eukaryota; Metazoa; Arthropoda; Insecta; Diptera; Coelopidae. The record is from RNAcentral.